Molecule: ribosomal RNA, 439 nt
Filed under: uncultured bacterium
Lineage: Bacteria
Description: partial 16S ribosomal RNA
Rfam family: Bacterial small subunit ribosomal RNA
Source: RNAcentral
CUACGGGCUGCUGCAGUGAGGAAUAUUGCACAAUGGGGGGAACCCUGAUGCAGCAACGCCGCGUGGAGGAUGACGCAUUUCGGUGUGUAAACUCCUUUUAUAUGUCAAGAAAAUGACGGUAGCAUAUGAAUAAGCACCGGCUAACUCCGUGCCAGCAGCCGCGGUAAUAUGGAGGGUGCAAGCGUUACUCGGAAUCACUGGGCGUAAAGGACGCGUAGGCGGGUUGGAAAGUCAGGUGUGAAAUCCUACAGCUUAACUGUAGAACUGCACUUGAAACUUCUAAUCUAGAGUAUGGGAGGGGGAGAUGGAAUUAGUGGUGUAGGGGUAAUAUCCGUAGAUAUCACUAGGAAUACCUAAAGCGAAGGCGAUCUCCUGGAACAUUACUGACGCUAAGGCGUGAAAGCGUGGGGAGCAAACAGGAUUAGAUACCCUGGUAGUC